Molecule: long non-coding RNA, 495 nt
Filed under: Panax ginseng (ginseng)
Lineage: Eukaryota; Viridiplantae; Streptophyta; Magnoliopsida; Apiales; Araliaceae
Description: long non-coding RNA (PGIN_LNC015086)
Source: RNAcentral
UAUGAAACCUAGAAAAUUUUCUAAGUCUUUUACAAGCUUGAGACGCCGAUUUCGAAAUCUCAUAACUUCUUCGUUAUAACUUGGAACGAGGUCGUUCCAAAGCCAUUUUCUUCCUUAUCUUACGUACUUCGAUUACCCUUGGACAGAACUUUGUUCUGAAUCCGUUAACAUGCCAUUCAAUUGGCUUAAUCUUCAUUCUUCGUUCAUUUUAACAUUUUUAACGUUCUUUGUUCGUUCGUUCGUAAUUCGGUCAUCCGAACUCGGAAUUCAUUCGUUCUUGAGUCCACGACUCACGUUUUAUACGUUCUCUUACAUUCUUAUGAAACCCUGUACGUUCGGGUUCAUUUACUAACUUUCAAAUUUUUGUUCUUCUUUUACAAAAAUUUUGCCAUAACUUCGUUAUAGCUUAGUUUUAAUCCGUCCUUCAUGAACGUUUCUACCGUUCCUAACCAAGCAAUAAGCAACUAACUUAUACGCGAUGGUUUUAAACUUGUC